This 274-nucleotide ribosomal RNA is filed under the name uncultured bacterium. RNAcentral's name for it is "partial 16S ribosomal RNA". It matches the Rfam family "Bacterial small subunit ribosomal RNA", at positions 523 to 796 of the family's 1533-position model. The record is from RNAcentral.
AUACGGAGGGUGCAAGCGUUACUCGGAAUCACUGGGCGUAAAGCGCGCGCAGGCGGUCUUUUAAGUUGGAUGUGAAAGCCUACGGCUCAACCGUAGAACUGCAUCCAAAACUAUUAGACUAGAGUGUGGGAGAGGAAGAUGGAAUUAGUUGUGUAGGGGUGAAAUCCGUAGAGAUAACUAGGAAUACCAAAAGCGAAGGCAAUCUUCUGGAACACUACUGACGCUGAGGCGCGAAAGCGUGGGGAGCAAACAGGAUUAGAUACCCUAGUAGUCC